ACGGCUCAGUAACACGUGGACAAUCUGCCCUGGAGAGGAGGAUAACCCCGGGAAACUGGGAUUAAUACUCCAUAGUUCGUCUUAACUGGAAUGUUAUUCGAACGAAAGAUCCGUCGCUCCAGGAUGAGUCUGCGGCCGAUUAGGUAGUUGUUGGGGUAACGGCCCAACAAGCCUUUCAUCGGUACGGGUUGUGGGAGCAAGAGCCCGGAGAUGGAUUCUGAGACACGAAUCCAGGCCCUACGGGGCGCAGCAGGCGCGAAAACUUUACCAUGCGGGCAACCGUGAUAAGGAAACCCCGAGUGCCAGCACAGGCUGGCUGUCCGCCAGUUUAAAUAACUGGUGAAGAAAGGGCCGGGCAAGACCGGUGCCAGCCGCCGCGGUAAUACCGGCGGCUCGAGUGGUGGCCGCUAUUACUGGGCUUAAAGGGUCCGUAGCUUGAUAACUGGGUCCCUUGAGAAAUCCGCUGGCUUAACUUGCGGGCGUUCAGGGGAAACUUGUUUUCUUGGGACCGGGAGAGGUGAGGGGUACUGCCGGGGUAGGAGUGAAAUCCUGUAAUCCCGGUGGGACCACCUAUGGCGAAGGCAUCUCACCAGAACGGGUCCGACAGUGAGGGACGAAAGCUGGGGGAGCAAACCGGAUUAGAUACCCGGGUAGUCCCAGCUGUAAACUAUGUGCGUUAGGUGUGUCAGUGACCACGUGUCACUGAGGUGCCGAAGGGAAACCGUGAAACGCACCGCCUGGGGAGUACGGUCGCAAGGCUGAAACUUAAAGGAAUUGGCGGGGGAG
Molecule: ribosomal RNA, 786 nt
Filed under: uncultured archaeon
Lineage: Archaea
Description: bacterial SSU rRNA
Rfam family: Archaeal small subunit ribosomal RNA
Source: RNAcentral